Numida meleagris (helmeted guineafowl) is the source of this 3010-nucleotide long non-coding RNA. Lineage: Eukaryota; Metazoa; Chordata; Aves; Galliformes; Numididae. The record is from Ensembl.
UCCAUGCAGCCGGCAGGCAGGCUUUCCUAAGAUCCUGUGGACCCAACACUGCAUUGAUACCGUUAUAUAUUUUUAUUUAUAUAUACAUAUACAUGUACACAGCCAGGCGGGAAAGCCAUCAUCCAUCAAUUUUGGGUAACAAGGACGACCUGUUGAACACCUUGCUCUCCGACCCCCGGGAAGAUGCUGGGCUGCCGGAGCACGGAAGAGCCAGGACUGUGCCCCGAACUUCACCCGCUCGGCAGCCGCUGUUCCUAAGCCAUUUCCCCUCUCCUCCCCCGCCUCUUUGCCUCCCGGACCGAGAAUCUGCUCUUUAAAGUUGAUCUGACGGGGAAAGCAGAGACGAGCUUGUGCAUAGUUCGCAGGGCUGAAGCCAAAGAACACAGCAGCCUUUACAAGUGAUCUCUCCACCUGCAGCAAUCUGUUCCACUGCAAACAGCUCAGUUUUGGCCUUAUAUGUUGGAAGCAUGUCAACACAAUUUGUCAAUGGAAGCUUUUUGGAUGUUGCAAGUAAGGAAGUGAUCAGACGGGAUUUGGGGAUUUUGCCACUGCCAAACCAUUUUUCAUUUCCUGAUAGCUUUCUGUGGUGCAGUUCUUGAAGAUAUCUUUCCUUUCUGAGAAAACUCAGAGUGAAUGUUUAUUACAGUCGGCUAUUGAAAAAGUCUCAACUAAAGGGUCCUCUAUAUCAUGGAAUGAUAUUUCUUUCAUUUGCUGCUUACAGUCCUCAUAUAAUUUCUUUCACCAGUAGUUUUAAUAGUCCUUGUUACUUGUGCAGUUUUUCUGCCUCAGUGUGUUCUUUGUGCCCUAGCAGAAACUAACUACAGUUAGGUGAUAUGAGUUGUGUGGUGUGAAUUUUGGAAGAAGUACGAUACUGCAGAAGAAAAGGCAUCUCCGAUUUCACUAAGUUACAGAAGUCACAGAGAAGACAGGUUUAUCUUCUCUGUCCUGGAAUCUGCUCAUACCACUGCGUACAGCUCUUGCUAUGUACUGCAGCCAGCCACUCGCUUCUAGGGGCUUUGCUUUCAGCAAAGUCUGAUACACAGAGUUCUCUGAUGCUUCUUGUGUUUCAUCUUGCCUGAAAAGUUUGUAGUAAUAUGCAGGCUCAUCACUAGUCCUGAUGGAAAUGUGUGCUUCCCAUACUGUUGAAUGACAGUUUUCCCAGUGGGCUCUUUUUCUCAUUAUUAAAAUGACUUGGUUGCCUGAAGGGACCCUGACUUUGGCAUUGAUUCCUCAAAGGGGAACAUGCACUCCUUUCCCAAAUCUUCUUGGGAUCCUAGACUGUUAUAAAUCACAGCCAUGGUUGGUGCCAUCAUGCCCAGUCCUGUACAUACACAGGCCUCAUAACAGUUCUUUCCUCAGAGAGUUUACAGAUGGAAACAAAAAAAAACUGAAAAAUAUGAAUGUUUAAGUAAAAGUACCUUCUGGAUGUGUGCAGGACCCAGUCAAAAUGCUGAGGACUUAAUUCUCUGGAGAAGAAAGCACUAAAAUAUCUGUUGUUGGUUACUUUUUAGAUUUUACUUUUAGAGUGGGCCUGGUCUACUAUAUGCCAAGCAGAAACUCUGUAGCUUUUAGACCACAAUCUGGAGACUUCUCAGUGUUUGAGAUACUGAGGGUUGCAUUCCUCUUUUACCUCCAGGUACAAAUUUGCACCAUUCCUUCAGGACUAGCAUAAAUUCCUGUAGGGCACUGUGACCACCAGUAUGAUAAGCAACAUCUCUGGUACAAAGUGUAGAUGUGGGCUUCUGUUCUGCAUCUGGUGAAAGAAAGAAGUAAUAUAAAGUGAUGUUUAAGCCGGAGAGGUCUUUCAUAAACGUUUUUGUGAGUAAUAGCAACCUUCUGCCCUGCUUGAGGAGAGAGUGUACUAUAACAUUUCCUUAAGUGCAAAAAGUGCAUAAGCCUCACUUUUGAUUCUGUACCUCCAAAAUCCAGCAUGCUGCCUUCACCAGGACUUUUGAGGGCCUAACAACACAGCGGUCUUUAAUUCAGUUUUUUUGUUUUGUUUUGGCUGACCUGUCUUUUACAAACUGGAACCUAAGCUUUUAGGGCUCUCUUAGACUCUCCUUAGGCCGCAUUUUGAGAAGUUUGCCCCAAAUGUUAAAACUGCCCUUUUCCUUUUUUUACCUAUGAAAUGCAAGUAUCUUCAGUCAAGGUUUUGAAGUUUAGGUCUCUUUAUGUUCCUCCCAUAAAAGAUUACUAGAUUUAUUUUAAAGAUUUUUUUUCUCCUUCUACUCAUUUGCCCAAGCAUUCAUCAGUUAAAGAAUAGCAUGAAGUUAUUAACCAAGAGGGAAAACUGUGGUGCCUGCUGAUCUCAAUGGCUAGUCUGUGGUGUACCACAUGUUGCAAAGCACCUCUUGGUCCUGGCUAUGCUGCAUACAGCACCAGACUGCUUGAGGCCAGACCACUUGAAAGGAUGAUGCUACAGACUGGCAUAUGGUAGCAGGAAAAAAAGAGACAGUGGAAAACAAGGUAAUGUUCUGUAGGUGGUGACAAAAAGAAAGAUGUACUUGAGAGGAGUGCAUUGCUAGAAAAGUUGACUGGGAUGUCUGGGGCUGAGAUGGGCUGUAUUUGGCUGACUUGGGUUGGGAGAUUAAAUAGUGACAGAUGGUUCACAUGGUUUUCUAAUGCAGGAGAAGGCAUGAAGCACGUCUGUGUUUGUGUGAGGGAUUGCCAGAGCUUGGAGAAUUGAUUACGUGUGAGAAGCUUAACAUGUGAACGCAGUGUUUGUGUGCAAGCAUGCAGAGGCAAGAGUGUUUGUGUCAAAGGAUGGGUGUGCAAAAGCUGGUUUAGCUGUGUGUACGUGUGUACGGAAGAGGGCUGAACACAUCUAUGUGGGCUGGUAAGAUUUGUUGUGCUUUAAUUUUAUUUUUUUUUUUAAUUUAAAGCUGAUGUAACUUUCCUUACUCUAGAACUAUAAAUGCUGUAAAGACGUAUUUCCCUGCUGAAAUGUUAUUUCCUGCAAAUAAGUUCUUGAAACAUGAUUAUUUUUAAUAAAGCAUUCUGUCAUAAGACA